GACGAACGCUGGCGGCGUGCUUAACACAUGCAAGUCGAGCGGUAAGGCCCUUUCGGGGGUACGACGAGCGGCGAACGGGUGAGUAACACGUGGGUGACCUGCCCUCAGCUCUGGGAUAAGCCUGGGAAACCGGGUCUAAUACUGGAUAUGACUCCAUGACGCAUGUUGUGGGGUGGAAAGCCUUGUGCGGCUGAGGAUGGGCCCGCGGCCUAUCAGCUUGUUGGGG
RNAcentral lists this ribosomal RNA (226 nucleotides) under uncultured bacterium. RNAcentral describes it as "partial 16S ribosomal RNA". It matches the Rfam family "Bacterial small subunit ribosomal RNA", at positions 28 to 254 of the family's 1533-position model. The record is from RNAcentral.